RNAcentral lists this long non-coding RNA (336 nucleotides) under Pan troglodytes (chimpanzee). Its description in RNAcentral is "long non-coding RNA NONPTRT003715". Lineage: Eukaryota; Metazoa; Chordata; Mammalia; Primates; Hominidae. The record is from RNAcentral.
GCAGUGUUUGGUCUAUGGGAGAGAGAAGAAAAGAGAAAGAGAGAACGAAAAGGGGAAAUGGUACUGUAAAAUAUGAUGAAUUCACCCUUGUGGAUGGUCCUGGCCAGGUGGUCCUGAGGAUCCUGCCAGGAAGAGAUGACUGCUCCUUGGCAACUCUUGUUUUGUUACUGGCCUUGGGACAAUUUCAGAAUGGAGAUAUUUUGACAUCCUCGGUACUUUGAAGAUGUUUCCACUUCCCUUCGAAGGUGUUCAAUGUCCGUACAUAGAAUGAAAGGUGCCACCUUCUCCAGCAUGAGACAUAUCCCCAUGUGAUCCCUUACCACGCAGACUCCUGGC